This 403-nucleotide long non-coding RNA is filed under the name Marmota monax (woodchuck). Lineage: Eukaryota; Metazoa; Chordata; Mammalia; Rodentia; Sciuridae. The record is from RNAcentral.
GGAAUGGAGAGCCAAGUGGGACGAAAGGAGGGCCAAAGGAGGGCACAGCGUGAAGGGCCAGAGGACAGGUGCUGGUGGAGUGGGGGCCAGGACCCCAGCAAGGAGCCCAGGCUGGGGACCUAGAGGAGGGCCUACGCCAGGGUAGAGUAGGGAAGGGCAGGGCCGGGCAGGCACGAGGCACUAGUGGACUGCAGUGCAGGGAAACCAAGGGGAGCGGGGAAGCAGCCCAGGCAAGAGGCCCCCUGUCAAUGCCCAGGGAGGCGCUGGGCAACAAGGGCCACCAGAGGCUCAAGCGAGGAGCCAGGCCAGGGAAUGCAGAGCCAAGGGCUGGGGCUGGGGCAGGAGUUUCAGGACAGUGGACAAGGCUGGCGAAGGAAGGCAGGGCAUCCGGCAGGGGGGUGGG